AACUGUGCAAACGUUAUUCGGAAUCACUGGGCUUAAAGGGUGCGUAGGCGGGUUUAAAGGUCUGAUGUGAAAGCCCACGGCUCAACCGUGGAAUUGCGUUGGAAACCAUGAACCUUGAGGGAGUCAGAGGUAAGCGGAACUGAUGGUGGAGCGGUGAAAUGCGUUGAUAUCAUCAGGAACACCGGUGGCGAAAGCGGCUUACUGGGACUCUUCUGACGCUGAGGCACGAAAGCUAGGGGAGCGAACGGG
This 249-nucleotide ribosomal RNA is filed under the name uncultured archaeon. RNAcentral's name for it is "partial 16S ribosomal RNA". It matches the Rfam family "Bacterial small subunit ribosomal RNA", at positions 528 to 776 of the family's 1533-position model. The record is from RNAcentral.